This 896-nucleotide ribosomal RNA is filed under the name uncultured bacterium. RNAcentral describes it as "bacterial SSU rRNA". It matches the Rfam family "Bacterial small subunit ribosomal RNA", at positions 54 to 940 of the family's 1533-position model. The record is from RNAcentral.
CAUGCAAGUCGAGGGGAAACGAUAUUGGAAGCUUGCUUCCGAUAGGCGUCGACCGGCGCACGGGUGAGUAACGCGUAUCCAACCUGCCCACCACUUGGGGAUAACCUUGCGAAAGUAAGACUAAUACCCAAUGACGUCUCUAGAAGACAUCUGAAAGAGAUUAAAGAUUUAUCGGUGAUGGAUGGGGAUGCGUCUGAUUAGCUUGUUGGCGGGGUAACGGCCCACCAAGGCUACGAUCAGUAGGGGUUCUGAGAGGAAGGUCCCCCACAUUGGAACUGAGACACGGUCCAAACUCCUACGGGAGGCAGCAGUGAGGAAUAUUGGUCAAUGGACGAGAGUCUGAACCAGCCAAGUAGCGUGCAGGAUGACGGCCCUAUGGGUUGUAAACUGCUUUUAUAAGGGAAUAAAGUGAGUCUCGUGAGACUUUUUGCAUGCACCUUAUGAAUAAGGACCGGCUAAUUCCGUGCCAGCAGCCGCGGUAAUACGGAAGGUCCGGGCGUUAUCCGGAUUUAUUGGGUUUAAAGGGAGCGUAGGCCGGAGAUUAAGCGUGUUGUGAAAUGUAGACGCUCAACGUCUGCACUGCAGCGCGAACUGGUUUCCUUGAGUACGCACAAAGUGGGCGGAAUUCGUGGUGUAGCGGUGAAAUGCUUAGAUAUCACGAAGAACUCCGAUUGCGAAGGCAGCUCACUGGAGCGCAACUGACGCUGAAGCUCGAAAGUGCGGGUAUCGAACGGGAUUAGAUACCCUGGUAGUCCGCACGGUAAACGAUGGAUGCCCGCUGUUGGUCUGAAUAGGUCAGCGGCCAAGCGAAAGCAUUAAGCAUCCCACCUGGGGAGUACGCCGGCAACGGUGAAACUCAAAGGAAUUGACGGGGGCCCGCACAAGCGGAGGAACAU